This 402-nucleotide ribosomal RNA is filed under the name uncultured bacterium. RNAcentral's name for it is "bacterial SSU rRNA". It matches the Rfam family "Bacterial small subunit ribosomal RNA", at positions 30 to 431 of the family's 1533-position model. The record is from RNAcentral.
AUUGAACGCUGGCGGCAUGCCUUACACAUGCAAGUCGAACGGCAGCACGGGAGCAAUCCUGGUGGCGAGUGGCGAACGGGUGAGUAAUAUAUCGGAACGUGCCCAGUCGUGGGGGAUAACGUAGCGAAAGCUACGCUAAUACCGCAUACGAUCUAUGGAUGAAAGCGGGGGAUCGCAAGACCUCGCGCGAUUGGAGCGGCCGAUAUCAGAUUAGGUAGUUGGUGAGGUAAGGGCUCACCAAGCCGACGAUCUGUAGCUGGUCUGAGAGGACGACCAGCCACACUGGGACUGAGACACGGCCCAGACUCCUACGGGAGGCAGCAGUGGGGAAUUUUUGGACAAUGGGCGCAAGCCUGAUCCAGCAAUGCCGCGUGCAGGAUGAAGGCCUUCGGUUGGUUAACG